GAUGAACGCUGGCGGCGUGCCUAAUACAUGCAAGUCGAGCGAACAGACGAGGAGCUUGCUCCUCUGUCGUUAGCGGAGGACGGGUGAGUAACACGUGGAUAACCUACCUAUAUGACUGGGAUAACUUCGGGACACCGGCGCUAACCCCGGAUAAUCUAUUGAUCCGCAUGGUUCGUUAGUGAAAGUCGGUUUUGCUGUCUCUUAUCGCUGCAUCCGCGCUGCUUUGGCUGGUUGGUAAGGUAACGGGUUUCCACGGCGACCAGGCGUAGCCGACCGGCGAGGGGGAUCGGCCACACGGGAACGGAGACGCGGACCAUAGGCCUACGGGAGGCACCAGUAGGCAAUCUUCCGCAAUAGGCGAAAGCCUGACGGAGCAACGCGGCGUGAGUGAUGAAGGUCUUCGGAUCGUAAAACACUGUUAUGAGUGAAGAACAAAUGUGUAAGUAACUAUGCACGUCUUGACGGUACCUGAUCAGAAAGCCACGGCUAACUACGUG
RNAcentral lists this ribosomal RNA (497 nucleotides) under uncultured bacterium. RNAcentral's name for it is "partial 16S ribosomal RNA". It matches the Rfam family "Bacterial small subunit ribosomal RNA", at positions 28 to 507 of the family's 1533-position model. The record is from RNAcentral.